UGGGGAAUUGUUCGCAAUGGGCGCAAGCCUGACGACGCAACGCCGCGUGGAGGACGAAGAUCUUCGGGUCGUAAACUCCUGUCGAGCGGGACGAACACUCAUCCGGUGAAUAUCCGGAAGGGCUGACGGUACCGCUAAAGGAAGCCCCGGCUAACUCCGUGCCAGCAGCCGCGGUAAUACGGGGGGGGCAAGCGUUGUUCGGAAUUACUGGGCGUAAAGGGCUCGUAGGCGGCCAACUAAGUCCGACGUGAAAUCCCCAGGCUUAACCUGGGAACUGCGUCGGAUACUGGAUGGCUUGAAUUCGGGAGAGGGAUGCAGAAUUCCAGGUGUAGCGGUGAAAUGCGUAGAUAUCUGGAGGAAUACCGGUGGCGAAGGCGGCAUCCUGGACCGACAUUGACGCUGAUGAGCGAAAGCUAGGGGAGCAAAC
This 427-nucleotide ribosomal RNA is filed under the name uncultured bacterium. RNAcentral describes it as "bacterial SSU rRNA". It matches the Rfam family "Bacterial small subunit ribosomal RNA", at positions 355 to 773 of the family's 1533-position model. The record is from RNAcentral.